This 264-nucleotide long non-coding RNA is filed under the name Vigna radiata. RNAcentral describes it as "long non-coding RNA (VRAD_LNC003776)". Lineage: Eukaryota; Viridiplantae; Streptophyta; Magnoliopsida; Fabales; Fabaceae. The record is from RNAcentral.
GACAUUUGGGUGCAGAUGUUGAAAUGGGGUGAAAUUGUUGAGACCCCUUAAGUUUCUGUUAGGUUAAGGGGCCUUUGGGCCAGCUGUUGGGCCCAUUCUUUUCUCCUGCCACCGCACCAAUGCUAUUCACACCACCAUUCCCUUUCUGCAAACAAAAACAAAGAGGCUUGGACCUGACGGGUAGCUACUAUCUGCCACCUCCAACUUCGCUGUUGCACCGUUAGGGUCUGAACCAAGAAGUUUCUGGCUGCACCCUUACUUUUA